Molecule: long non-coding RNA, 367 nt
Organism: Triplophysa rosa
Lineage: Eukaryota; Metazoa; Chordata; Actinopteri; Cypriniformes; Nemacheilidae
Exons: 5
Source: RefSeq, a predicted model, not a curated record
GAUUCAGUGAGGAAAGUCCAAACCACCGUGGUGGCACAUCCAGAUGAGGGCGCUAUGAGCCAGGACAACCAGAAUAAACUAUCUUCAGGGAAUGUUCAAAGCCAUCAGAAGUCCCCUUGCUUGGCUGAUGGUGCAGAAGAGAUGGUUUGUGGCAGUGAGAUUCAUGCUGAUUCAGAGUGUGAUGUAACUGAAGACAAAAUGGGGAUCAUAACUAAACUUGCGAGCUCACUGUUUCCCUUCUCUAUGUUCUUCCGCAAGAGUUCUGCAAAAUAACAUUUCAAACCGUCAUUCCUUGACAUUUGUGGAGCUCAAACCUGUUCUUGUUGGAGAAAAUCUUUUUCAGUUUGAAAUGUCUUCAAGGUUUGAA